CACAGGUGCUGCAUGGCUGUCGUCAGCUCGUGUCGUGAGAUGUUGGGUUAAGUCCCGCAACGAGCGCAACCCUUACCAUUAGUUGCCAUCAUUUAGUUGGGCACUCUAAUGGGACUGCCGGUGACAAACCGGAGGAAGGUGGGGAUGACGUCAAGUCCUCAUGGCCCUUAUGGGUAGGGCUUCACACGUCAUACAAUGGUUGGUACAGAGGGUUGCCAAGCCGCGAGGUGGAGCUAAUCUCAGAAAGCCGAUCGUAGUCCGGAUCGCAGUCUGCAACUCGACUGCGUGAAGUCGGAAUCGCUAGUAAUCGUGGAUCAGCAUGUCACGGUGAAUACGUUCCCGGGUCUU
RNAcentral lists this ribosomal RNA (348 nucleotides) under uncultured Rhodocyclaceae bacterium. Its description in RNAcentral is "bacterial SSU rRNA". It matches the Rfam family "Bacterial small subunit ribosomal RNA", at positions 1033 to 1382 of the family's 1533-position model. Lineage: Bacteria; Pseudomonadati; Pseudomonadota; Betaproteobacteria; Rhodocyclales; Rhodocyclaceae. The record is from RNAcentral.